This 2904-nucleotide ribosomal RNA is filed under the name Escherichia coli. RNAcentral's name for it is "23S ribosomal RNA". It matches the Rfam family "Bacterial large subunit ribosomal RNA". The record is from RNAcentral. RNAcentral also lists the same sequence under 2 other names. Lineage: Bacteria; Pseudomonadati; Pseudomonadota; Gammaproteobacteria; Enterobacterales; Enterobacteriaceae.
GGUUAAGCGACUAAGCGUACACGGUGGAUGCCCUGGCAGUCAGAGGCGAUGAAGGACGUGCUAAUCUGCGAUAAGCGUCGGUAAGGUGAUAUGAACCGUUAUAACCGGCGAUUUCCGAAUGGGGAAACCCAGUGUGAUUCGUCACACUAUCAUUAACUGAAUCCAUAGGUUAAUGAGGCGAACCGGGGGAACUGAAACAUCUAAGUACCCCGAGGAAAAGAAAUCAACCGAGAUUCCCCCAGUAGCGGCGAGCGAACGGGGAGCAGCCCAGAGCCUGAAUCAGUGUGUGUGUUAGUGGAAGCGUCUGGAAAGGCGCGCGAUACAGGGUGACAGCCCCGUACACAAAAAUGCACAUGCUGUGAGCUCGAUGAGUAGGGCGGGACACGUGGUAUCCUGUCUGAAUAUGGGGGGACCAUCCUCCAAGGCUAAAUACUCCUGACUGACCGAUAGUGAACCAGUACCGUGAGGGAAAGGCGAAAAGAACCCCGGCGAGGGGAGUGAAAAAGAACCUGAAACCGUGUACGUACAAGCAGUGGGAGCACGCUUAGGCGUGUGACUGCGUACCUUUUGUAUAAUGGGUCAGCGACUUAUAUUCUGUAGCAAGGUUAACCGAAUAGGGGAGCCGAAGGGAAACCGAGUCUUAACUGGGCGUUAAGUUGCAGGGUAUAGACCCGAAACCCGGUGAUCUAGCCAUGGGCAGGUUGAAGGUUGGGUAACACUAACUGGAGGACCGAACCGACUAAUGUUGAAAAAUUAGCGGAUGACUUGUGGCUGGGGGUGAAAGGCCAAUCAAACCGGGAGAUAGCUGGUUCUCCCCGAAAGCUAUUUAGGUAGCGCCUCGUGAAUUCAUCUCCGGGGGUAGAGCACUGUUUCGGCAAGGGGGUCAUCCCGACUUACCAACCCGAUGCAAACUGCGAAUACCGGAGAAUGUUAUCACGGGAGACACACGGCGGGUGCUAACGUCCGUCGUGAAGAGGGAAACAACCCAGACCGCCAGCUAAGGUCCCAAAGUCAUGGUUAAGUGGGAAACGAUGUGGGAAGGCCCAGACAGCCAGGAUGUUGGCUUAGAAGCAGCCAUCAUUUAAAGAAAGCGUAAUAGCUCACUGGUCGAGUCGGCCUGCGCGGAAGAUGUAACGGGGCUAAACCAUGCACCGAAGCUGCGGCAGCGACGCUUAUGCGUUGUUGGGUAGGGGAGCGUUCUGUAAGCCUGUGAAGGUGUGCUGUGAGGCAUGCUGGAGGUAUCAGAAGUGCGAAUGCUGACAUAAGUAACGAUAAAGCGGGUGAAAAGCCCGCUCGCCGGAAGACCAAGGGUUCCUGUCCAACGUUAAUCGGGGCAGGGUGAGUCGACCCCUAAGGCGAGGCCGAAAGGCGUAGUCGAUGGGAAACAGGUUAAUAUUCCUGUACUUGGUGUUACUGCGAAGGGGGGACGGAGAAGGCUAUGUUGGCCGGGCGACGGUUGUCCCGGUUUAAGCGUGUAGGCUGGUUUUCCAGGCAAAUCCGGAAAAUCAAGGCUGAGGCGUGAUGACGAGGCACUACGGUGCUGAAGCAACAAAUGCCCUGCUUCCAGGAAAAGCCUCUAAGCAUCAGGUAACAUCAAAUCGUACCCCAAACCGACACAGGUGGUCAGGUAGAGAAUACCAAGGCGCUUGAGAGAACUCGGGUGAAGGAACUAGGCAAAAUGGUGCCGUAACUUCGGGAGAAGGCACGCUGAUAUGUAGGUGAAGUCCCUCGCGGAUGGAGCUGAAAUCAGUCGAAGAUACCAGCUGGCUGCAACUGUUUAUUAAAAACACAGCACUGUGCAAACACGAAAGUGGACGUAUACGGUGUGACGCCUGCCCGGUGCCGGAAGGUUAAUUGAUGGGGUCAGCGCAAGCGAAGCUCUUGAUCGAAGCCCCGGUAAACGGCGGCCGUAACUAUAACGGUCCUAAGGUAGCGAAAUUCCUUGUCGGGUAAGUUCCGACCUGCACGAAUGGCGUAAUGAUGGCCAGGCUGUCUCCACCCGAGACUCAGUGAAAUUGAACUCGCUGUGAAGAUGCAGUGUACCCGCGGCAAGACGGAAAGACCCCGUGAACCUUUACUAUAGCUUGACACUGAACAUUGAGCCUUGAUGUGUAGGAUAGGUGGGAGGCUUAGAAGUGUGGACGCCAGUCUGCAUGGAGCCGACCUUGAAAUACCACCCUUUAAUGUUUGAUGUUCUAACGUUGACCCGUAAUCCGGGUUGCGGACAGUGUCUGGUGGGUAGUUUGACUGGGGCGGUCUCCUCCUAAAGAGUAACGGAGGAGCACGAAGGUUGGCUAAUCCUGGUCGGACAUCAGGAGGUUAGUGCAAUGGCAUAAGCCAGCUUGACUGCGAGCGUGACGGCGCGAGCAGGUGCGAAAGCAGGUCAUAGUGAUCCGGUGGUUCUGAAUGGAAGGGCCAUCGCUCAACGGAUAAAAGGUACUCCGGGGAUAACAGGCUGAUACCGCCCAAGAGUUCAUAUCGACGGCGGUGUUUGGCACCUCGAUGUCGGCUCAUCACAUCCUGGGGCUGAAGUAGGUCCCAAGGGUAUGGCUGUUCGCCAUUUAAAGUGGUACGCGAGCUGGGUUUAGAACGUCGUGAGACAGUUCGGUCCCUAUCUGCCGUGGGCGCUGGAGAACUGAGGGGGGCUGCUCCUAGUACGAGAGGACCGGAGUGGACGCAUCACUGGUGUUCGGGUUGUCAUGCCAAUGGCACUGCCCGGUAGCUAAAUGCGGAAGAGAUAAGUGCUGAAAGCAUCUAAGCACGAAACUUGCCCCGAGAUGAGUUCUCCCUGACUCCUUGAGAGUCCUGAAGGAACGUUGAAGACGACGACGUUGAUAGGCCGGGUGUGUAAGCGCAGCGAUGCGUUGAGCUAACCGGUACUAAUGAACCGUGAGGCUUAACCUU